This is a non-coding RNA of Schistosoma haematobium, 74 nucleotides long. Lineage: Eukaryota; Metazoa; Platyhelminthes; Trematoda; Strigeidida; Schistosomatidae. The record is from Rfam.
ACCUUUUUGAAUCCAUGCAGUGAUUUGGUCAAAAACCAAACCAUUAUGAUCAGACUUCAAAGAUAAAUGAAGUU